Molecule: ribosomal RNA, 778 nt
Filed under: uncultured Neocallimastigales
Lineage: Eukaryota; Fungi; Neocallimastigomycota; Neocallimastigomycetes; Neocallimastigales
Description: partial large subunit ribosomal RNA
Rfam family: Eukaryotic large subunit ribosomal RNA
Source: RNAcentral
CACGCACACACGCGCGGCAUAUCAAUAAGCGGAGGAAAAGAAACUAACAAGGAUUCCCUUAGUAACGGCGAGUGAAGCGGGAAAAGCUCAAAUUUGAAAUCUUCAAGGUUUUACCUUGACGAAUUGUAGUUUAAAGAAGUGUUUUCUGCUGAAGUUUUGGUAAAAGUUCUUUGGAAUAGGACAUCAUAGAGGGUGAGAAUCCCGUAUUUGACCAUUAUUUUCAGCUUUGUGAUACACUUUCAAAGAGUCGGAUUGUUUGGGAAUGCAGUCCAAGAUGGGUGGUAAAUUUCAUCUAAAGCUAAAUAUUGGCGAGAGACCGAUAGCGAACAAGUACCGUGAGGGAAAGAUGAAAAGAACUUUGAAAAGAGAGUUAAACAGUACGUGAAAUUGUCAAAAGGGAAGCGUUUGACACCAGUGUUGUUUUCUCGAAAAUCAAUUAAAAAUGGCUCGAUUUUGUAUUGCUUGAGACCUUAAAAGCUCACUGUACAUUUUUCGAGUCUUUCUUAAUGCACUUUUCGUUAACAAGUCAACAUCAAUUUCUUUUGUUGUAAAAGGGUCAUUCGGAAGGUGGCUUUCUUUUCGGAGAAAGUGUUUAUAGCCCUAGGACUUCUAGCAGUCGGAGAGAUUGAGGUCUGCAGCGUAGAUCCUUCGGGGUUAGAUACACUUGUGCUAAGUUAUAGCUUUUCAUAGACAACUUGUUGACUAUGAUUUAGUCAUGUCGCUUACUCGCUUAUGCUAUUUUACCUACGCUUAGGAUGUUGAUCUCUCACAGUCGAGC